This 467-nucleotide ribosomal RNA is filed under the name uncultured bacterium. RNAcentral's name for it is "bacterial SSU rRNA". It matches the Rfam family "Bacterial small subunit ribosomal RNA", at positions 65 to 518 of the family's 1533-position model. The record is from RNAcentral.
GGGGGCAGCACAUGAAGCAGCAAUGCGGAUGGUGGCGACCGGCGCACGGGUGAGUAACGCGUAUGCAACCUACCUACAACAGGGGAAUAACCCGUUGAAAGACGGACUAAUACCCCAUAACACAGGGAUCCCGCAUGGGAAUAUUUGUUAAAGAUUUAUCGGUUGUAGAUGGGCAUGCGUUCCAUUAGCUAGUUGGUGAGGUAACGGCUCACCAAGGCAACGAUGGAUAGGGGAACUGAGAGGUUUAUCCCCCACACUGGUACUGAGACACGGACCAGACUCCUACGGGAGGCAGCAGUGAGGAAUAUUGGUCAAUGGGCGCAAGCCUGAACCAGUACCCACGUCGCGUGAAGGAAGACGGCCCUACGGGUUGUAAACUUCUUUUGUAAGGGAAUAAAGUGUAGUACGUGUACUAUUUUGCAUGUACCUUACGAAUAAGGAUCGGCUAACUCCGUGCCAGCAGCAGC